GGGACAUUGUGAGCAUACAGCAGGAUAACUGACAUUUGGAUUGCUGGACACAGAAAUAUCAUCUACAGUAGCUUGUUCAAGGAGCUGCAAAGCAUGAGAAAGUCGUGAAAGACAUGUCCAAUGACUGAGCAUUAAAGCACAGGCAAAUUAAAUGACUUCUGUAGGUUGCAAGACCAUUCAGUGGCAGGAACUGACCUGGCAUUUUUGUGGUUUACAUUCAAUGUCACAACCUCUGUGUCAACACUGUUCUCCCAAGCAAGACAAGAAGCCCAGGUUGAUUGAUGUAGCCUUCCCUUAACUGACUUUCGAAUCUACAAAGUCUUGGACAGAGCUUCAAAAGCUGUCAAUUUACUAUUGUGAUAUAUGGCCGGCCAUUCAUCCCGGACAAUACCCCCAGGCUGCC
Polypterus senegalus (gray bichir) is the source of this 403-nucleotide long non-coding RNA. RefSeq lists it as uncharacterized. NCBI's taxonomy places the organism in Eukaryota, Metazoa, Chordata, Cladistia, Polypteriformes, Polypteridae. The transcript is spliced from 4 exons. The record is from RefSeq and is a predicted model, not a curated record.